UGUGACUUAGAAUCGGGGUCCUGACACUGCAAUAGCAUAAGAUCCAUUUUAUCAUAGUACUAGUGCUAGAUACUUUUCUUAAUUCAUAGUAAACUGUAAGUUAUCUCUCAAGCACUCUCUGCAGGAAAUUAUCUCAUGAAUUGUGUGUAGCGUUUGUGCCUGGUGAGUGUUCGUAUAAAUCCCUAGGCAGCCUCCUUUCCCUCUCUCCACAAUCUGAAACUCACGGGAGGUGCAUCUUGUACAAUAAGAGGUGAAUCCCUCCCGUUCUGCCUGCUGCUGCUGCUAUUUCUUUAUAUUCGUGACAUGUUCCUGCACAAUCUUGUCAUAUUAAUCUAUGCACAAAUUGAUGCUCUAUAUCUACAAGAUAAUGAUCUAGAUUUCUUUUUCUAAUAUAAUGUUAAAAGUCGACUAGAUGAAAAAUUCUCUGUGUUAGCAAGAUCAGUACUGCUCAACAGUACGACAAGUAGCAGUACUGAUCAGUACAACUUACACAAUAUUAGUACCGAUCAGUACUAUUCUUAAUGUUAAAAGUAACACCCAUAUAGUACUGAUGAGUCGUAGUGACAAGGAUGCAGUCUACAAAUUCUGAACUUAUUGUUGAGUCAUACUAGUACUGAUGAAAUGGGAAGCAAGGUUGUGUCACAUGAAUCUUAAUUGAAUAGGAAGCAAGGUUGCAAUGAGACCCUAGAAAAUCACUAUUUAUUUUAUCCUCGGUUCUUAGAAAAGCAUGGAAACAAUUCUCUGUGUGUUAGAGUAUCAGUUCAUGUGGAGAAGAACAUGUUUCCUAUAUGAAAAAAUAAUAUAUUAUUAUCAGUUCAAUGUGUAUUUUGUCAUUAGUUCAUACAGAACAACCGUAAAAAAUAUUUUGAUGUGUGCUAGAGAGAGCUCGACUUUAUAUUAUAUGGUAGCUCACUCAUUGCACGAUUGCACAACAGUUUGGCAAGAAAAUUGACAUCAGUUCAGGGAUGCCCACAUCACGGCCUCACCGUGCCACCGCAAUCUCUCCUUGAUAUGCCACCGGACGAGCCCCUCCUCACACUUUGGCAAGCUGUCACUUCUUGCUCCUGUGCCUGGAUCCCGUGUGAGGACUGCUUAGAUCUUGGUCAGGCGAAGGCCAUGUAGGUUGCAAAUUGCUCUUCUGGUAUGUUGGGGGUGUGUCUAGGCCGACCGCUUCAGAUUUGUUUUGUGUUAGCUAGAUUCUAAGCUAGAACGGUCUGAUUUAAGCAAUUGGAAUUUGAAUAAUCAAGUUGCCAUCUGCCCUGCUGUCACAAAGAAUCUAUUUUUACCAAUGUUGUACUUUUUUUUGCAGUUGCCGUUGUAGUUGUACAAUAGUUUUGUCUCAUAGUGCUCUUAGUUGUGCACUUAAAUGAUCCCACAAUAUGGCAUUAUCUUUGAGAAUAGAGUUCAUCAAUAGUUCAGAGUUGUGAAUAGGAGGGUGUGCCUGUACCUGGUGGGUUUGCUUAUGAUUCUGGUGUGCUUACCGGUUUGGCCUAUUCGAAGUUGUGUAGUUUGCAAUUUGUUUUUCCGGUGGCAGCCGUCCAAGUUGAGCGCUGAUGGUAGUCAUCUAUGUGCGCCAGUGGCACUCUCUCACAGCAAUAUCUCUCUUUCUUUGCUCCUGCUAUUAAAAUGCAUAAAUGUGGUAUUCUGCUAACUGAGUAGUUGGGAAGAUGUGAGAAGAACAUGCUCUUUAGGUAUUUGUGACUAUUCCUGUGAGCACCAAUGUAUUUAAAUGUUUAUUUUGUGCUUCCGCGCAUGUUUUUGGGAAGCACAAGUACAUCGUCAUAGUAAGUACAAAUGCGGUCUUAUGGGACUUUGAUAGUGGUUGGAUGCUAUUCCAAAUGCCAAGAUCAUGCAAAACGGUUGUUGCUAGAAUCUAGAUGAUAUUUAAUGUAGAUACCAUAGUUUCACCCUAUUUUUUGGUUCUAAUUAUUGCUGCAUACCUAUUUAAAAGAAUGUUCCAUAAAUGUUUGUGAUCAUUGCUUGUAGGUAUUCAUGUGGACUUUAAAAUAACGACUGUUCUUGUAGGAGGUUCGAAGAUUAUCGUGGAGCAAGUUCAAGAGAUUAGUUUCGUGAAAAUGAAUGUGAUCUUUUGGUCAGGAUUUUGCAUGAUCCAUAGCCAUCGGUGGCAACAGGCGAGCAGUUUGAGGCCUCCUACGUGAGUCAUCCAUCGUCUUCUAUGCGUAAGAUUGUUGUCUCUACACAUCUAGCAUCAGAGUAUCUCCUCCCCUUGCCGCACAGACAUGUCAGGUGGUCGAGCUAGUGUUGUUUGUGAUUACUGGUCGUGACUCUUAUGAUGUCAUUGGACAAAGAAUUUGUUCUGUAACUCUGUAUUUGCAGGACCUUUAGCAAAUAUUGUUGUGUUCUGAGUAUUCCGAUGUAGGCCAAAAUGGUGAAGAUUUAAACAUCAACCCGAAUUAAUAAGACUGAGAAGUUCUACUUUAAGUAAACGGGUGAACCUAGAUGCAACAAAGCUCUGCCAUUA
Molecule: long non-coding RNA, 2482 nt
Filed under: Triticum aestivum (bread wheat)
Lineage: Eukaryota; Viridiplantae; Streptophyta; Magnoliopsida; Poales; Poaceae
Description: long non-coding RNA (TAES_LNC004329)
Source: RNAcentral